RNAcentral lists this ribosomal RNA (315 nucleotides) under uncultured Bacteroidales bacterium. RNAcentral's name for it is "bacterial SSU rRNA". It matches the Rfam family "Bacterial small subunit ribosomal RNA", at positions 28 to 339 of the family's 1533-position model. Lineage: Bacteria; Pseudomonadati; Bacteroidota; Bacteroidia; Bacteroidales. The record is from RNAcentral.
GAUGAACGCUAGCGGCAGGCUUAACACAUGCAAGUCGUGGGGCAGCGCGUUGUAGCAAUACAGUGGCGGCGACCGGCGGAAGGGUGCGUAACACGUGAGCAACUUGCCCGUAACAGGGGGAUAAGCGCUGGAAACGGCGUCUAAUAUCCCAUAACAUAUUUCACCGCAUGAUGGAAUAUUGAAAACUCCGGUGGUUACGGAUGGGCUCGCGGGACAUUAGCUAGUCGGCGGGGUAACGGCCCACCGAGGCGACGAUGUCUAGGGGUUCUGAGAGGAAGAUCCCCCACACUGGGACUGAGACACGGCCCAGACUCC